AAUAGCCUAACGGCUGAACCAGCAAUUUGGAGGAAUGUAUAGCAAUAGCUAAUUGCAUAACUUUAUGCAAUAUCGACCUUGUUGAAUAAAGUUCUGAGUAAAUCUAGAUAAUGACUUAAUUUACUCACGUGUCUUGACUAAAAUGCGUGCCAGCAGUCGCGGUAAGACGUAUAAGACUAGUGUUAUUCAUCUUUAGCAGGUUUAAAGGGUACUUAGACGGGAGAUCAAGCCUAAGCAGGGACUAGUCUUCUGGAGUUACUUGUGAUGGGGCUAGAAAGUACUAAUGGAGUAGAGAUAAAAUGCUAAUAUACCUUUUUUCGAGAGAUUAAUAAUGGCACUGGUAAAGGCGAAAGCAUCCCCUUAUGUGAUAACUGACGUUAAAGGACGAAGGCUUUGGAUCGCGAACAGGAUUAGAUACCCUGGUAGUCAAAGCAGAGAAUGAUGAGUGUCAUAGAUUAGAAUAAGUUUAAUCUAUAAAUGAAAGUGUAAGCACUCCACCUUAAGAGUAACGUGGGAACACCGAAACUGAAAUCAUUAGACCGUUUCUGAA
RNAcentral lists this ribosomal RNA (550 nucleotides) under Bibbya albomarginata. Its description in RNAcentral is "SSU rRNA". It matches the Rfam family "Bacterial small subunit ribosomal RNA", at positions 370 to 925 of the family's 1533-position model. The record is from RNAcentral. Lineage: Eukaryota; Fungi; Ascomycota; Lecanoromycetes; Lecanorales; Ramalinaceae.